This 528-nucleotide ribosomal RNA is filed under the name uncultured bacterium. RNAcentral describes it as "partial 16S ribosomal RNA". It matches the Rfam family "Bacterial small subunit ribosomal RNA", at positions 355 to 874 of the family's 1533-position model. The record is from RNAcentral.
UGGGGAAUUUUGGACAAUGGGCGAAAGCCUGAUCCAGCAAUGCCGCGUGUGUGAAGAAGGCCUUCGGGUUGUAAAGCACUUUUGUCCGGAAAGAAAUCCUUGGCUCUAAUACAGUCGGGGGAUGACGGUACCGGAAGAAUAAGCACCGGCUAACUACGUGCCAGCAGCCGCGGUAAUACGUAGGGUGCAAGCGUUAAUCGGAAUUACUGGGCGUAAAGCGUGCGCAGGCGGUUUGCUAAGACCGAUGUGAAAUCCCCGGGCUCAACCUGGGAACUGCAUUGGUGACUGGCAGGCUAGAGUAUGGCAGAGGGGGGUAGAAUUCCACGUGUAGCAGUGAAAUGCGUAGAGAUGUGGAGGAAUACCGAUGGCGAAGGCAGCCCCCUGGGCCAAAUACUGACGCUCAUGCACGAAAGCGUGGGGAGCAAACAGGAUUAGAUACCCUGGUAGUCCACGCCCUAAAACGAUGUCAACUAGUUGUUGGGGAUUCAUUUCCUUAGUAACGUAGCUAACGCGUGAAGUUGACCGCCU